CCUACGGGUGGCAGCAGUGGGGAAUAUUGCACAAUGGGCGCAAGCCUGAUGCAGCCAUGCCGCGUGUGUGAAGAAGGCCUUCGGGUUGUAAAGCACUUUCAGCGGGGAGGAAGGCGGUGAGGUUAAUAACCUCAUCGAUUGACGUUACCCGCAGAAGAAGCACCGGCUAACUCCGUGCCAGCAGCCGCGGUAAUACGGAGGGUGCAAGCGUUAAUCGGAAUUACUGGGCGUAAAGCGCACGCAGGCGGUCUGUCAAGUCGGAUGUGAAAUCCCCGGGCUCAACCUGGGAACUGCAUUCGAAACUGGCAGGCUAGAGUCUUGUAGAGGGGGGUAGAAUUCCAGGUGUAGCGGUGAAAUGCGUAGAGAUCUGGAGGAAUACCGGUGGCGAAGGCGGCCCCCUGGACAAAGACUGACGCUCAGGUGCGAAAGCGUGGGGAGCAAACAGGAUUAGAUACCCGAAUAGUC
RNAcentral lists this ribosomal RNA (465 nucleotides) under uncultured Klebsiella sp. Its description in RNAcentral is "bacterial SSU rRNA". It matches the Rfam family "Bacterial small subunit ribosomal RNA", at positions 338 to 795 of the family's 1533-position model. The record is from RNAcentral. Lineage: Bacteria; Pseudomonadati; Pseudomonadota; Gammaproteobacteria; Enterobacterales; Enterobacteriaceae.